AUACCUACCUGGCAGGGGAGAUACCGUGAUCAAGAGGGCGGUUCACCCAGGGCGAGACUCAGCCAUUGCACUCCGGCUGUGCUGACCCCUGCGAAUUCCCCAAAUUGUGGUGUGGUGGCCUAGGGGUUUAAGGCAGCGGCCCCGUAAUCAGAAGGUUGCCGG
The sequence is a small nuclear RNA, 162 nucleotides long. Its record names the gene U1. It matches the Rfam family "U1 spliceosomal RNA". From Rfam's summary of the family: U1 is a small nuclear RNA (snRNA) component of the spliceosome (involved in pre-mRNA splicing). Its 5' end forms complementary base pairs with the 5' splice junction, thus defining the 5' donor site of an intron. The record is from Ensembl.